Molecule: long non-coding RNA, 869 nt
Filed under: Capra hircus (goat)
Lineage: Eukaryota; Metazoa; Chordata; Mammalia; Artiodactyla; Bovidae
Description: lncRNA (ENSCHIG00010022709.1)
Source: RNAcentral
CCUACUUCUCUCACAUACUAGGUGCUCAAUAAAUGUAGGACGCAGGAAGCGAAAAAUCCGAAUCUGCCCCCAAUCCUCAAGGGCGAAUGACAGGGAACGCAGGUUUCCUCAGAACCACCGUCUCCUCAGUGGGGCCACCUGACCUCAGCCGUUACGGCCCCAGCAGCAGGAGAGCAACCAAGAAGGCUCCGUCGAGCGAUGCGAGCUCUGGGAGACAGCGACGCCGCCUCCCGCUAGAGACCUGCCCCCCGGCCCGGCCCCGUGCCCAGCCCUGCCCAGCGCGCGGGGGUCGGCGAAGGCGCCGCGGACGCACCAACGGCGGAGGAUCCGCGAUGCAAAUGCACUAGCGGCACCCCCUAACUCACUCCCUCCACACCCCGCGCCGCCUCCUCCUCCGGCAGCAGCGGUAGAAGGACCCACCCUGCCCCCCCACCCCACCCUCCGCCGACUCCGGCUCCUGCCUCGACUAUUAUUUUAUUUAUUUUGGGUCGUGCACAAGCCUCAGUGCCUGCAGCCCGCGCCUCCUCGGACCGCGGGCGCCUCCUCCCUCGGUUCCGGAGCCCGAGACCCCGGCCACCUUCGCCUCGACACCCCCAGAGCCCCGCCAGCUGCCGCGAGUCUCCGCGGCUGGGAGCUUGUUAGAGGCUGUCUUUUUGGGGGGUUCUGGUUUCUCGACAUUUUUGUUUUCAGCCAAGGGGAGGCUAUCGUGAUUUUUUCCCCUUUGAGCCCAGGUUCUGCUCUUUGGGGGGGUGGGGGGCGCGCCGAGCCGGGGAGCCGUGCCAGCCGAGUCGUGCGGGCUGUGGCAGGGAAGGGGCCACCAUGGGAUGUACUCUGAGCGCAGAGGAGCGAGCCGCCCUCGAGCGGAGCAA